GAUGAACGCUGGCGGCGUGCCUAAUACAUGCAAGUCGAGCGAAUGGAUUAAGAGCUUGCUCUUAUGAAGUUAGCGGCGGACGGGUGAGCAACACGUGGGUAACCUGCCCAUAAGACUGGGAUAACUCCGGGAAACCGGGGCUAAUACCGGAUAACAUUUUGAACCGCAUGGUUCGAAAUUGAAAGGCGGCUUCGGCUGUCACUUAUGGAUGGACCCGCGUCGCAUUAGCUAGUUGGUGAGGUAACGGCUCACCAAGGCAACGAUGCGUAGCCGACCUGAGAGGGUGAUCGGCCACACUGGGACUGAGACACGGCCCAGACUCCUACGGGAGGCAGCAGUAGGGAAUCGUCCGCAAUGGACGAAAGUCUGACGGAGCAACGCCGCGUGAGUGAUGAAGGCUUUCGGGUCGUAAAACUCUGUUGUUAGGGAAGAACAAGUGCUAGUUGAAUAAGCUGGCACCUUGACGGUACCUAACCAGAAAGCCACGGCUAACUACGUGCCAGCCGCCGCCGUAA
RNAcentral lists this ribosomal RNA (515 nucleotides) under uncultured bacterium. RNAcentral describes it as "partial 16S ribosomal RNA". It matches the Rfam family "Bacterial small subunit ribosomal RNA", at positions 28 to 523 of the family's 1533-position model. The record is from RNAcentral.